This 421-nucleotide ribosomal RNA is filed under the name Fusobacteriota bacterium. RNAcentral's name for it is "Fusobacteria bacterium partial 16S ribosomal RNA". It matches the Rfam family "Bacterial small subunit ribosomal RNA", at positions 355 to 776 of the family's 1533-position model. The record is from RNAcentral. Lineage: Bacteria; Fusobacteriati; Fusobacteriota.
UGGGGAAUAUUGCACAAUGGACGGAAGUUUGAUGCAGCGACGCCGCGUGGAGGGUGUAGGCCUUCGGGUUGUGAACUCCUUUUUCUCGCGAAAAAGGCACAGUUUUGGCUGUGUUGAUGGUAGUGGGGGAAGAAGCGCCGGCUAACUACGUGCCAGCAGCCGCGGUAAUACGUAGGGCGCGAGCGUUGUCCGGAUUUAUUGGGCGUAAAGAGCUCGUAGGUGGUUCGUCGCGUCUGUCGUGAAAGCCAGCAGCUUAACUGUUGGUCUGCGGUGGGUACGGGCGGGCUUGAGGGCGGUAGGGGUGACUGGAAUUCCUGGUGUAGCGGUGGAAUGCGCAGAUAUCAGGAGGAACACCGAUGGCGAAGGCAGGUUACUGGGCCGUUACUGACACUGAGGAGCGAAAGCGUGGGGAGCGAACAGG